AUUAGACUACCGUGUAGUCCUAGGACGUAAUGAUGCGAGUUAAGUGGUGGGGCAUCUACGAGAUGGCCCUGUGCUGUAGGGUAGCCGUUAAACUCGCUGCCGUGGGAGUACGGUCGCAAGGCUGAAACUUAAAGGAAUUGGCGGGGAGCACCACAAGAGGUGGAGGCUGCGGUUCAAUUGGACUCAACGCCGGAAACUCAUCGGGAGCGACAGCAGUAUGAUUGCCAGGUUGAUGACCUUGCUUGACAAGCUG
RNAcentral lists this ribosomal RNA (253 nucleotides) under uncultured archaeon. RNAcentral describes it as "partial 16S ribosomal RNA". It matches the Rfam family "Archaeal small subunit ribosomal RNA", at positions 728 to 982 of the family's 1478-position model. The record is from RNAcentral.